UGGUGAGAACUGACAAAUGUGGUAGGUGGU
This 30-nucleotide non-coding RNA is filed under the name Homo sapiens (human). Lineage: Eukaryota; Metazoa; Chordata; Mammalia; Primates; Hominidae. The record is from RNAcentral.